UCCUCCGCUAUGAGCAGGCUUUCCUGUUCUGGCACGGCACUGCUGCAUAAGCUAUUAAGUUAAAUCAACUUAGCUGUUUUUAGUUUGUUUAAAUGGCCUUUUACAGUGCUGUGAGUACAUUGUUCUUAAACCAAAUCUUUUCAUUGCGCUUUUCUGGAUGUCUUUAGUUUUGUCAUGCUGAUGAAGUUCUUACUCGAUUUAUUUAGUCAGCAUGCAUGUUGCCUAACCUUACGUUGUCCUCUGCUCUGGGAUCCUCUUUGGUUCAGGUGGUACCACAGCUUUUCUAGGAAGAAAGCCAGGAUUUCUCUGGUCAUUGGGGUGCAUUUGCUUGCUGCUUCCCUUAUCUUUGUUUAUAUUACGCUGCCAUCCAUGGCACUCCUGCACCUGUCCUGUGUUUGUGUGGUGCCCAAAGCGUGACACCUCUGUAGCUUGUGGUUUGUGUGGGGGAUGAAAAGCCCCACAGGGAAUGGCUGGAGAUUGUUAUAAAGAUCUUAAUGGUGUAUUUUGCUCUCCUAAAUGAAAUUUCUGCCACAGGCCUUCCUAUGCGCUGAAGCAUAGGAAUCCAUCUGAAAGUGCCUUCACCCCCUGUGUGUUUAUUUUCAAAGUCCUUCAGGUUUUGUUUGUCUAUUUUGUCGUGUCCAGUUUCUUAUCUGAUGCCUUCUGGUUACCUUUCUAACUCAGGGACAAAGUCCAAAGACAGAUUGGCAUCUACUUAUGGAGGGUGGGGUUGGCAGAGGAAUGAAUUAGCUCUGCCCCCUUUUUGAUCUGAAUAUUGUCCUCAUAAAACAACCCCAGCUGAGGUCUGAAAGAGUUGCAUCUCCUGCAACUACUACUGUCACAGUCACCACACAGAAUAUAUGCCAUCUUAAAUUAAGGGACAAGACUGCUACCCCAUGGAGCUGUGGCAUCAGGGGUGAUAAGGCCGUGAGGCAUAUUUAGUAGGAGAAUUGACUGCUGGCAAAUGUCCCUCAAGGACGCCCAAGGAUCAAGGUCCCACGUCAUGCCCAGGCACUCCACCACACUGCUUCAUCAUCCCUACUGCUGGAAAGCAGGCCUUCAAGCUUCACAUGGAUCUUCCUGUCAUUUAAAGACUAUUACUUCUUACCCUGGCCCCCCAAAAUAAUUGUGUAUGCUCUCUGUGUGCUCUGCCUGCUUUAACAUUGAGUGUUUGUAUUUCAGAGAGCACACAGAAGCAAAGAAAAUGAACUCAAACCUCAGAAGGUGACUUGCAAGCCUUUCUGGCUGAGCAGGGCUUGGCUGGAAGACAGAAAACUCUGCUUAUACCAUACCAGUAUGGUCUUCAAGCACCUCAGGGUGUUCUGGCUGCUGGUAUUUAAUGAGUGGCAGUGCAUGGACACUGCAAAAGGAAUACGAGAAGAUGUGUUACAAAGCAGUUGUUCCCUUAUAACACACUUGUGAUCUGCCAUGUGGCUGGAGCAAGGCUCAGCAGUGACUGAGACCUCGUUCAGGUGAGGGUGAGCGACCUCGAGUGCGUAAAAGAGAGAAUGUGAAAUAUGUGAGCACAGCAAGAUAGCAGACAAUCUUGUGGUGAUUAUUAAUGGUCAUGUCCAGGUAAGUAGCAUGGUGAGUUAUUUACAAUAUCCCCUGUUGGUAGAGAGAUUACUGCAGUAAUGUUAAUGAGGGGGGACAAUAAAUAGUGAGGAGGCUAAUGGUGGUUGCUUUAACUGGAGACCAGACCAAAAUCCUCUCCAGGGCCAUUUAGUUGGCUCUCCUGACACUCUACUUGUGCAGAAAUUACCUCAGCUGUCAACUGCUUCUUCCAUUCCUGCUGUAAGUGACCGAGGUGAUGGUGGCGAUGUCACUCUAGUGGUCCAUGAUGUAAGGUGCGAGUGAGUUUCAGUCUCGGGAGACAAACGCACCUCCCAAACAAGCACGUCUCCUCAAACAUCUUUUCAGGUGUCUGAACAGCCCUCUUCAAGAGGCUGUGCAACUGCAGAUUUUUCCAUGUUUUACCAAAGCGGCAGGAAAAGCAGUGCUUUCCGACAACAUUCCACAGCCAUUGCUUUGAUUUUGGAGAAUUCAUUUCAAAAAAAUGUCUAGCGAGCUGAAUAAAGCUGAAUUAGCAAAUCACAGAUACCCAGAAGGAACAGUGUCCUGUUUAUAAGGAAAGAGUGCGGUUACUGUGGUCAGACAGCCGGGCCACAGGCCAGGUCAUGCCUCCUAAGCAUAUUUUAUCUCGCCUCAUGUCACAGGCAGGAUGUGGGGGAUGUACGAGUUUCUCCUCUGAAAGGUGAGGGUGAUUCACAGAGAGUGCAGGCUGGCGUUACUCCUGUGCCGGCUGCUUUGCCUUACACCAGCUUCUUCAUGAAGGUAUCGGAGGAAAUCACCUCAGUGGCGUUCCCCAGGCAGUCGGGGUGGCCAAGGCAGGCUGUGACCAGGCCUGAAUGGACCCCUUCUUCUCGGCCAGGUGCUACUACUUAAGGGCUGCUUUCUGACCCUUCCAGUGGUGCGAUCAGACAAGCAACAGCACUGGCAGUGGGGAAGGGAAAAGUGUACGAGCCCAUCUAACUCCAGGCUGCAGCUGCUGUGUGAGAAGGAAUCCAGUUACGCAAACCUCAACAGAAGCCAUGCCUUGUUGCUGGGGGAGAAUGCUCUUGGUCAUUCUUCAUCCCUUUUUCCUGUGGGAUACUUGAAAGCACAGGGGUCAAACUGAACCAAGUGGAAAAGCCAGCAAUCUCUCCAUUUUAAGGAACAUACCCUACUUAAAAGCAUGUCUCUGGCUGGAGUGAAGAUGGACUGGAUGACUUUGGUGUGCUCGAGGGCAGGACUGCCACCCAGAGGGACUGAGUCAGAGAAGCUGUCCUGAAAGACGAGCAUGGAGGAGGCAGAGGACCUCUGCAGCCAGGAUGUGCUGCUGUGGUGUGCAAUUGCACAAACCAAGCUGUUGUGUAUUCAGAGUCGCAUCUGCCUGUCCAAAUGACCAAAACGAAGUAUUUUCUGCUUUCUACUUUAUUUAAACCUGCUGGAGCCAGCAAUGCUCAUCCUCCUCAUGCACCAAGGUAUCCACAUGUGCCACUCGCCAACCUGGGACUUCUUCACCAAGCAAUGUCUGAGCAAAUCUCCUAAAAACAGAGCAACUGCUCACAGAUUAUUGUGAUCAUAAUUUGGCUGACAUAGCCUUUAUUACUAAUGGUGAUGCUGGAGAUGGAAAACCCAUCUUGAUUCUCAGAUCCCUGCUGGAAAGUAAUAAAAUAAAGAGGAACAAAAUCCAUGAGUGUAUUUGCUACCAAACCUUUGAAAAACACAAGAAUGGAACCCUGCCAAUACUGUUGCUGGCAAUUUUUCAGACCAGUGCCUCUCUCUGAGAUAGCAUUAGAAUUGGAAGUGCAUUUUAUAUCUAUGACAUUAGUAUCGCAUUGUGUACAAACGGAGAGUUUACAAUUAUUUGACGUUUACUGGUUUGCAUUGUAAUUAUUGUGUGCUGCUCUUAUAUCUUCAGUUUAUUUUUAAGCACCUUCCAGUAAUGUAAUAAUUAGAAAAUAACUUCAGUUAUUGUGAAAAAUGUGUUUAUUUUGCUAACUGAAAGAAUGGGAAAAGGAAGUGCUUCAGUGGAAGUGCCCUUAUAAAAAUGGAAGGUAUUGCAGUUUUUCAGUGAGGUCUUUGUUGAGAACAUCGGGUAAGGGAGGUUGGCUUUUACAUAGUCUCCUUUGUCCAUCUUUGUGCAAUGGCAGAAUUUGCAGCUAAUUCUGAUGGCAGAAGCUUCUCCUGUGGUGGUAGCUGAGGAUGAUAUAAUGUCAUGUACAACCAUAGGAAAUUUCCCCAAGCCAUAGCUAGGAUUUUGAAUAACAGAAUGAGCCUUUGGUACUAAGAAACAAGCCCGCAGUACUAAGAACACAGAAAAAGCUAUUAAAUUUUAAACGUAAAAAGGGCCACUUGAUAAAAUCAGUAGCAAAUAAAAGAGGAAUGUAAAUGUAAUUUCAUUGAUUGAUUUCACUCUGUCUCUUUUUUCAUGUUAAUAUAUUUUUGUCUCUUAAUUCAUAACCACACGGUAAUUAAAAAAUGUAAGAAAAACUAACUUUUUACCAUGCUAAUUAAACUGUAUGUCACAUAGGCAUUUGGGGAGAAUUUCCCAUGCUUUCUAGAGUGAAUGGAAGGAAAGAGCAGUGGUGCUCACUUUAAAUUCGAUUUUUCUCUAGUACCUUGCAAAAAGGCUUCAUUGUAUUUUGAUUAAUCCAUGCUUGGUCCACCUCGGAUGUUUCCAUGGAAACAGAUUUUUUUUUUUUUGAUGGCAACUGUUAGGCUCGGGAAGGUUCCUCUCUGCACAAAACCACUCCAGCUCCUAAAGAACUAUACAUUGCAAAUUUAAUAUACAUAAACAAAACUCCCAAAUUCCUCCUCAGUAUCAUUGUCGUCACUGCUAAUAGAGAACUGUUUUCUUAAUGAUACACAGUGGUGCUCUUUCACUCCACAAGAAAAUAGAAUAACCUUAUUAUUCUUUCUACUGCAAGAGAGCACUUUUCUUGGUCCAGAAAAAUAUUAGCCUGCAAACCUUUCAAAAUUAAAUUUUAAGAGUUCUGAUGUGUGAAUAUUAUCUAGUUCUGGACAUAAAUCAUUUGGCUUAAUGGCUGUUAAAAUUGAAUUAAACUUGUCUUGUAGAUUGGUAGUAAUUUGAA
Long non-coding RNA from Cygnus olor (mute swan), 4634 nucleotides. RefSeq lists it as uncharacterized. Lineage: Eukaryota; Metazoa; Chordata; Aves; Anseriformes; Anatidae. The transcript is spliced from 5 exons. The record is from RefSeq and is a predicted model, not a curated record.